Molecule: ribosomal RNA, 406 nt
Filed under: uncultured bacterium
Lineage: Bacteria
Description: partial 16S ribosomal RNA
Rfam family: Bacterial small subunit ribosomal RNA
Source: RNAcentral
AUUGAACGCUGGCGGCAGGCCUAACACAUGCAAGUCGAACGAGUGGCGGACGGGUGAGUAAUGUCUGGGAAACUGCCCGAUGGAGGGGGAUAACUACUGGAAACGGUAGCUAAUACCGCAUACCAUCGGAUGUGCCCAGCUGGGAUUAGCGUGUAGGUGGGGUAACGGCUCACCUAGGCGACGGUCCCUAGCUGUUCUGAGAGGAUGCCCAGCCCCACUGGAACUGAGACACGGUCCAGACACCUACGGGAGGCAGCAGUGGGGAAUAUUGGACAAUGGGCGCAAGCCUGAUGCAGCCAUGCCGAGUGUAUGAAGAAUGCCUGCGGGUUGUAAAGUACUUUCAGCGGGGAGGCGUUACGCGCAGAAGAAGCACCGGCUAACUCCGUGCCAGCAGCCGCGGUAAUAC